RNAcentral lists this ribosomal RNA (447 nucleotides) under uncultured bacterium. RNAcentral's name for it is "bacterial SSU rRNA". It matches the Rfam family "Bacterial small subunit ribosomal RNA", at positions 355 to 825 of the family's 1533-position model. The record is from RNAcentral.
UGGGGAAUCUUGGACAAUGGGCGCAAGCCUGGUCCAGCCAUGCCGCGUGAAGGAUGAAGUAUUUCGGUAUGUAAACUUCGAAAGAAUAGGAAGAAUAAAUGACGGUACUAUUUAUAAGGUCCGGCUAACUACGUGCCAGCAGCCGCGGUAAUACGUAGGGACCAAGCGUUGUUCGGAUUUACUGGGCGUAAAGGGCGCGUAGGCGGCAAUUCAAGUCAUCUGUGAAAUCUCCGGGCUUAACUCGGAACGGUCAGAUGAUACUGCUUUGCUAGAGUGCAGAAGGGGCAAUCGGAAUUCUUGGUGUAGCGGUGAAAUGCGUAGAUAUCAAGAGGAACACCUGAGGUGAAGACGGGUUGCUGGGCUGACACUGACGCUGAGGCGCGAAAGCCAGGGGAGCAAACGGGAUUAGAUACCCAAGUAGUCCCUGAGCGGGCUGGCAAGGCGCAU